RNAcentral lists this unclassified non-coding RNA (260 nucleotides) under Hevea brasiliensis (rubber tree). Lineage: Eukaryota; Viridiplantae; Streptophyta; Magnoliopsida; Malpighiales; Euphorbiaceae. The record is from RNAcentral.
UUAUUAAAAUAUAAAAAUUAAAUAGUAAUUUUUCUUUUAAAACAACAUAUUUUAUAUAGAUACUUGGUUUAUUUUUCUAUUCAUAUUUAAUCAUGACCGAUGCAUAUUAAGUAUGUUCAGUUCCGCUUCAUUACAAUUUUAGCUAAGAAUCAGAACUGGAACCUAACCUUCCUUUGAAUUUUAGGAAUCAAACUUAGAAUUAAAUUUUGAUUUUAAUUCUAAUUCAGUUCUAAAUAAUUUUAGUAUAAUUCCAAUUUUAG